RNAcentral lists this ribosomal RNA (253 nucleotides) under uncultured bacterium. Its description in RNAcentral is "partial 16S ribosomal RNA". It matches the Rfam family "Bacterial small subunit ribosomal RNA", at positions 524 to 776 of the family's 1533-position model. The record is from RNAcentral.
GACAGAGGGGGCAAGCGUUGCUCGGAAUUACUGGGCGUAAAGGGCGCGUAGGCGGGAUGGCAAGUCGGUCGUGAAAUCCUUCGGCUCAACCGAAGAACGUCGAUCGAUACUGCUGUUCUUGAGGGUUGCAGAGGAGACUGGAAUUCCCGGUGUAGCGGUGAAAUGCGUAGAUAUCAGGAGGAAUACCGGUGGUGUAGACGGCUCUCUGGACCGCAACUGACGCUGAAACACGAAAGCGUGGGUAGCAAACAGG